Molecule: transfer-messenger RNA, 358 nt
Filed under: Acutalibacteraceae
Lineage: Bacteria; Bacillati; Bacillota; Clostridia; Eubacteriales
Also listed under: 1 other name
Description: UBA1213 sp900316485 Standard tmRNA
Rfam family: transfer-messenger RNA
About the family: Bacterial tmRNA, also known as 10Sa RNA or SsrA, is named for its dual tRNA and mRNA-like properties. Its role is to liberate the mRNA from a stalled ribosome.
Source: RNAcentral
GGGGGUGCAAUGGUUUCGACGGGGGGAGUGAACGUCGGCAAGCGAGCAGCGGCAUUGCGGAACCGCUAUAAAAUCCGUAAAACUUUUAAAUAAUAAACGACAACAAUAAACCUGUUGCCCUUGCCGCUUAAUCAGGCAAGCGUUCGUAUAGGGAGGACCACGAAAUUAUACGGGCGUCGACUUAGUGGUGAACGUGAAUAAAGAACUGUCUUGAUCUUUGUCAUGAAUUAAAGACUACCGAUACAUCAAGCCUGUCUGCGGGCGAGAUGUGGGGGGAAUCAUAAAUCACAGACUGCGCUCGGAGAAAACCGCCCGGAUCACCUUUCGGACAGGAGUUCGAUUCUCCUCACCUCCACCA